Molecule: long non-coding RNA, 643 nt
Organism: Nilaparvata lugens (brown planthopper)
Lineage: Eukaryota; Metazoa; Arthropoda; Insecta; Hemiptera; Delphacidae
Exons: 3
Source: RefSeq, a predicted model, not a curated record
UAACAUCACAGUAUAAACAGAACUCUGUAGCAUGAUUUUAACUGUUUUUUACUAUUUAAAAUCAUAAAUUGGAUCAAUAAGCUACUAUAUAGCUUGAUUAUGUUGUAUCUAAAGGACAGUCCUGCAAAAUUGUUAGCUCAGUAAAUUAAUUAACUGGUUACUCCAGUUAGCUCAAGUUAGCUCAGACGUGUGAACAAUCUUCAAAACCACCAAAAAAUGACUUCGGUAAAGAAAGUCUUGAAAAAGCUGCCUGGUAACAUUCUACCUGGUCAAGAUGAAGGACCAUCAGAGAAUGUUGAUAUUGAAAAGAUAGUAAAAAAGGUUAUCUCCAAUCCAGUUCUCAAUCAGGAGGUUGGAAAGGAACUCGAUAAGGUCAGUUUUAUUCAUUUUUUAUCUAUUCUAUGAUUCAACAAUUUUCUAUGUGAGUGUGGUUGAUUAUUAGUGAAAUAGGUAUAUUUAUUUAAUAUUAAUAAUAAUAGUAAUUUAGUGAACUGGCUCGCUCAGGUCUAAUGACACGUUUCAGGUCAAACUUGAUCCAUUCAUUCAGGGCCUCUGACAUGACCUAACAACUGCUUUCAGACAGCCUGGACCGACUAUUUAACGUGUCCAUUCGAAACACGAGAACAACCUGAGAAAAAUAUCU